Molecule: non-coding RNA, 986 nt
Organism: Solea senegalensis (Senegalese sole)
Lineage: Eukaryota; Metazoa; Chordata; Actinopteri; Pleuronectiformes; Soleidae
Source: the annotation of a RefSeq genome assembly
GUUUCCUGAUGGCUUACCAAGAUGCAGAGGUGUGACUAUUCAUAAGAACCACAUAUGCAGAAAUAAAAACACACUAACAGGAGCAAUAACAAGAGCAGCCAUGAAAAACAAGAUGAUCACUGUCUUCUGUAUAACCUUAAAUAUCAUGCUCAUCUCAGGUUCCUCUCUCAGUGACAAAGUGAAGCAGACUCCAGCUCACAUGAUCAAGAAAUCAACAGAAACAGCUAACAUCAGCUGCUCACAUAGUAUUGAUAGCUAUAAUGUAAUCCUCUGGUACAAGCAGUUAAACAACAGACAGCUGCAGUUCCUGGGAUACAUGUUGAUGGACUCAAAAAACCCAGAAACUAGAGUUGCAGUGAAGAUGGAAGGGAAUGCAAAUAAAGACCAGAACUGCACUUUAACCAUUGAAACACUGGACCUGAACAGCAGUGCAGUUUACUUCUGUGCUGCUAGUUUACACAGUGCCACACAUCACUGCUCCUCAGUACAAAAACCUCACCAUCACUAUGUUUUCAUCAGCUCAUAAUCACUUACACCUGCUACUUCCUCUCAUUAGGUGGCAGUGUAUCUAUAUUCUGUGAAUCUGAACCACUGAUGUGUAGCAGGAGUUGAUGUGAUCAUUAUAAUGUGGAGAGAAGAAGAUAAACUAUGACACCACCCACUGACAGAGCUCAUUUUACUAAACUAAGAGUUUACUCAGAGGAGGUUGGAAAUAAUCACAGAUACACUGACUGAAGAAAAUGAACAAGUGUGAAGUUUAGAGGACACAAAAUGAUUCUUUUGUUUUUCUUUAUUCUAAGUAUGACUUCUAACACUGUUCUGGUUUCAGGUAAUAUCAACAAAAUUAUUGUUAAAAAAAAGUUUUUCUUACAUUUUCACAAAAUCUCUUUUUAACUUAGCUUUGGGUACAACCAGUCUACAAUACUGAUGAUACAUUAGCCAAGUUACCCUUAUAUUUUAGUUGGUAUUUGUGUUUUUACAGCGAU